This 250-nucleotide ribosomal RNA is filed under the name uncultured bacterium. RNAcentral describes it as "partial small subunit ribosomal RNA". It matches the Rfam family "Bacterial small subunit ribosomal RNA", at positions 26 to 285 of the family's 1533-position model. The record is from RNAcentral.
AGGAUGAACGCUAGCGGCAGGCCUAAUACAUGCAAGUCGAACGGUGGUAGCAAUAUCAUAGUGGCGCACGGGUGCGUAACACGUAACUAACCUACCUAUAACUGGGGGAUAGCCCGCCGAAAGGCGGAUUAAUACCGCAUAAGCUGUUGAGGUGGCAUCACCUUAUUAGUAAAGAUUUAUUGGUUAUAGAUGGGGUUGCGGGUCAUUAGCUAGUUGGUAGGGUAACGGCUUACCAAGGCGACGAUGACUA